This 676-nucleotide long non-coding RNA is filed under the name Scleropages formosus (Asian bonytongue). RNAcentral describes it as "lncRNA (ENSSFOG00015027688.1)". The record is from RNAcentral. Lineage: Eukaryota; Metazoa; Chordata; Actinopteri; Osteoglossiformes; Osteoglossidae.
GUCAGUGUAAUAUCUCAGAGUCUUAAAAAACAUAAAAAGGCACAUCGUGUCAGCAGGUGAGGAGUUAUAACUGAAAACCGACAAACUCUGAUAAAACAUUUUCGCAUAACGAAACGAAAUGUAACAAUAAUUAACACCCCGAAGGUAUGUUUACUAUUUAAGUUUGUUUCAGGGACUUUUUGCGCACCGUACUCCGUGUUGCACUCAUGAAUCCGCGACUGCCGUGUGCAGGAUGCGUGACCCGCGCGUAUACGCCUGUGCGUGUGCAUGACGCGCGUGCGCACUGUUCGCUUUUGCACGCGGCCUCCUAUCUGGAGCGUUAUAAAAGCGGUACUCAGAAGCGCUAUCGGCAGAGCGAUUUUUUACGGAACGGCAACUAUGGAUCCGUGUGCCUGUGCCAAAGGUGGCUCCUGUAACUGUGGUGACAGCUGCAAGUGCAAAGACUGCAAGUGUAGCAAAUGCAAGAAAAGCUGCUGCUCUUGCUGUCCAUCUGACUGCAGCAAGUGUGCUUCUGGCUGUGUGUGCAAGGAUGGCAUCUGUGGAGCAAGUUGCUGCCAGUGACUUCACCCCUGGAAUCAAGCUACAACAAUGAUGUAUGCUGGUUGAACUUGUACUUUUGUUUUGUAUAUGUGAGUUCUAAAAUAAAAUGUAUUGUCUCUGACUUGGCUUUGUUUCC